CUUGACCGAGCCCAACCACAGGGGACGUCCCUCGGGCCGAUCCUGUCCAUAGGUCGCCAGCACGGCCUGCGCCUC
This 75-nucleotide antisense RNA is filed under the name Actinophytocola oryzae. RNAcentral's name for it is "ASpks TB sRNA". It matches the Rfam family "ASpks TB sRNA". The record is from Rfam by way of RNAcentral. Lineage: Bacteria; Bacillati; Actinomycetota; Actinomycetes; Pseudonocardiales; Pseudonocardiaceae.